This 504-nucleotide ribosomal RNA is filed under the name uncultured bacterium. Its description in RNAcentral is "partial 16S ribosomal RNA". It matches the Rfam family "Bacterial small subunit ribosomal RNA", at positions 30 to 523 of the family's 1533-position model. The record is from RNAcentral.
AUUGAACGCUGGCGGCAUGCCUUACACAUACAAGUCGAACGGCAGCAUGGAGAGCUUGCUCUCUGAUGGCGAGUGGCGAACGGGUGAGUAAUGCAUCGGAACGUACCGUGUAAUGGGGGAUAACGUAGCGAAAGUUACGCUAAUACAGCAUACGACCUGAGGGUGAAAGCAGGGGAUCGCAAGACCUUGCGUUAUACGAGCGGCCGAUGUCAGAUUAGCUAGUUGGUGAGGUAAAGGCUCACCAAGGCGACGAUCUGUAGCGGGUCUGAGAGGAUGAUCCGCCACACUGGGACUGAGACACGGCCCAGACUCCUACGGGAGGCAGCAGUGGGGAAUCUUGGACAAUGGGGGCAACCCUGAUCCAGCGAUGCCGCGUGUGUGAAGAAGGCCUGCGGGUUGUAAAGCACUUUUGUUGGGGAAGAAAGGGUGGUAGUGAAUAGCUACUGCAAUUGACGUUACCCAAAGAAAAAGCACCGGCUAACUCUGUGCCAGCAGCCGCGGUAA